GCUGGCGGCAGGCCUAACACAUGCAAGUCGAGCGGUAGAGAGAAGCUUGCUUCUCUUGAGAGCGGCGGACGGGUGAGUAAUGCCUAGGAAUCUGCCUGGUAGUGGGGGAUAACGUUCGGAAACGGACGCUAAUACCGCAUACGUCCUACGGGAGAAAGCAGGGGACCUUCGGGCCUUGCGCUAUCAGAUGAGCCUAGGUCGGAUUAGCUAGUUGGUGGGGUAAUGGCUCACCAAGGCGACGAUCCGUAACUGGUCUGAGAGGAUGAUCAGUCACACUGGAACUGAGACACGGUCCAGACUCCUACGGGAGGCAGCAGUGGGGAAUAUUGGACAAUGGGCGAGAGCCUGGUCCAGCCAUGCCGCGUGUGUGAAGAAGGUCUUCGGAUUGUAAAGCACUUUAAGUUGGGAGGAAGGGUUGUAGAUUAAUACUCUGCAAUUUUGACGUUACCGACAGAAUAAGCACCGGCUAACUCUGUGCCAGCAGCCGCGGUAAUACAGAGGGUGCAAGCGUUAAUCGGAAUUACUGGGCGUAAAGCGCGCGUAGGUGGUUAGUUAAGUUGGAUGUGAAAUCCCCGGGCUCAACCUGGGAACUGCAUUCAAAACUGACUGACUAGAGUAUGGUAGAGGGUGGUGGAAUUUCCUGUGUAGCGGUGAAAUGCGUAGAUAUAGGAAGGAACACCAGUGGCGAAGGCGACCACCUGGACUGAUACUGACACUGAGGUGCGAAAGCGUGGGGAGCAAAC
RNAcentral lists this ribosomal RNA (743 nucleotides) under uncultured bacterium. RNAcentral describes it as "bacterial SSU rRNA". It matches the Rfam family "Bacterial small subunit ribosomal RNA", at positions 35 to 773 of the family's 1533-position model. The record is from RNAcentral.